RNAcentral lists this ribosomal RNA (2930 nucleotides) under Escherichia coli. Its description in RNAcentral is "23S ribosomal RNA". It matches the Rfam family "Bacterial large subunit ribosomal RNA". The record is from RNAcentral. Lineage: Bacteria; Pseudomonadati; Pseudomonadota; Gammaproteobacteria; Enterobacterales; Enterobacteriaceae.
GGGUUGUGAGGUUAAGCGACUAAGCGUACACGGUGGAUGCCCUGGCAGUCAGAGGCGAUGAAGGACGUGCUAAUCUGCGAUAAGCGUCGGUAAGGUGAUAUGAACCGUUAUAACCGGCGAUUUCCGAAUGGGGAAACCCAGUGUGUUUCGACACACUAUCAUUAACUGAAUCCAUAGGUUAAUGAGGCGAACCGGGGGAACUGAAACAUCUAAGUACCCCGAGGAAAAGAAAUCAACCGAGAUUCCCCCAGUAGCGGCGAGCGAACGGGGAGGAGCCCAGAGCCUGAAUCAGUGUGUGUGUUAGUGGAAGCGUCUGGAAAGGCGCGCGAUACAGGGUGACAGCCCCGUACACAAAAAUGCACAUGCUGUGAGCUCGAUGAGUAGGGCGGGACACGUGGUAUCCUGUCUGAAUAUGGGGGGACCAUCCUCCAAGGCUAAAUACUCCUGACUGACCGAUAGUGAACCAGUACCGUGAGGGAAAGGCGAAAAGAACCCCGGCGAGGGGAGUGAAAAAGAACCUGAAACCGUGUACGUACAAGCAGUGGGAGCACGCUUAGGCGUGUGACUGCGUACCUUUUGUAUAAUGGGUCAGCGACUUAUAUUCUGUAGCAAGGUUAACCGAAUAGGGGAGCCGAAGGGAAACCGAGUCUUAACUGGGCGUUAAGUUGCAGGGUAUAGACCCGAAACCCGGUGAUCUAGCCAUGGGCAGGUUGAAGGUUGGGUAACACUAACUGGAGGACCGAACCGACUAAUGUUGAAAAAUUAGCGGAUGACUUGUGGCUGGGGGUGAAAGGCCAAUCAAACCGGGAGAUAGCUGGUUCUCCCCGAAAGCUAUUUAGGUAGCGCCUCGUGAAUUCAUCUCCGGGGGUAGAGCACUGUUUCGGCAAGGGGGUCAUCCCGACUUACCAACCCGAUGCAAACUGCGAAUACCGGAGAAUGUUAUCACGGGAGACACACGGCGGGUGCUAACGUCCGUCGUGAAGAGGGAAACAACCCAGACCGCCAGCUAAGGUCCCAAAGUCAUGGUUAAGUGGGAAACGAUGUGGGAAGGCCCAGACAGCCAGGAUGUUGGCUUAGAAGCAGCCAUCAUUUAAAGAAAGCGUAAUAGCUCACUGGUCGAGUCGGCCUGCGCGGAAGAUGUAACGGGGCUAAACCAUGCACCGAAGCUGCGGCAGCGACGCUUAUGCGUUGUUGGGUAGGGGAGCGUUCUGUAAGCCUGUGAAGGUGUGCUGUGAGGCAUGCUGGAGGUAUCAGAAGUGCGAAUGCUGACAUAAGUAACGAUAAAGCGGGUGAAAAGCCCGCUCGCCGGAAGACCAAGGGUUCCUGUCCAACGUUAAUCGGGGCAGGGUGAGUCGACCCCUAAGGCGAGGCCGAAAGGCGUAGUCGAUGGGAAACAGGUUAAUAUUCCUGUACUUGGUGUUACUGCGAAGGGGGGACGGAGAAGGCUAUGUUGGCCGGGCGACGGUUGUCCCGGUUUAAGCGUGUAGGCUGGUUUUCCAGGCAAAUCCGGAAAAUCAAGGCUGAGGCGUGAUGACGAGGCACUACGGUGCUGAAGCAACAAAUGCCCUGCUUCCAGGAAAAGCCUCUAAGCAUCAGGUAACAUCAAAUCGUACCCCAAACCGACACAGGUGGUCAGGUAGAGAAUACCAAGGCGCUUGAGAGAACUCGGGUGAAGGAACUAGGCAAAAUGGUGCCGUAACUUCGGGAGAAGGCACGCUGAUAUGUAGGUGAAGCGACUUGCUCGUGGAGCUGAAAUCAGUCGAAGAUACCAGCUGGCUGCAACUGUUUAUUAAAAACACAGCACUGUGCAAACACGAAAGUGGACGUAUACGGUGUGACGCCUGCCCGGUGCCGGAAGGUUAAUUGAUGGGGUCAGCGCAAGCGAAGCUCUUGAUCGAAGCCCCGGUAAACGGCGGCCGUAACUAUAACGGUCCUAAGGUAGCGAAAUUCCUUGUCGGGUAAGUUCCGACCUGCACGAAUGGCGUAAUGAUGGCCAGGCUGUCUCCACCCGAGACUCAGUGAAAUUGAACUCGCUGUGAAGAUGCAGUGUACCCGCGGCAAGACGGAAAGACCCCGUGAACCUUUACUAUAGCUUGACACUGAACAUUGAGCCUUGAUGUGUAGGAUAGGUGGGAGGCUUAGAAGUGUGGACGCCAGUCUGCAUGGAGCCGACCUUGAAAUACCACCCUUUAAUGUUUGAUGUUCUAACGUUGACCCGUAAUCCGGGUUGCGGACAGUGUCUGGUGGGUAGUUUGACUGGGGCGGUCUCCUCCUAAAGAGUAACGGAGGAGCACGAAGGUUGGCUAAUCCUGGUCGGACAUCAGGAGGUUAGUGCAAUGGCAUAAGCCAGCUUGACUGCGAGCGUGACGGCGCGAGCAGGUGCGAAAGCAGGUCAUAGUGAUCCGGUGGUUCUGAAUGGAAGGGCCAUCGCUCAACGGAUAAAAGGUACUCCGGGGAUAACAGGCUGAUACCGCCCAAGAGUUCAUAUCGACGGCGGUGUUUGGCACCUCGAUGUCGGCUCAUCACAUCCUGGGGCUGAAGUAGGUCCCAAGGGUAUGGCUGUUCGCCAUUUAAAGUGGUACGCGAGCUGGGUUUAGAACGUCGUGAGACAGUUCGGUCCCUAUCUGCCGUGGGCGCUGGAGAACUGAGGGGGGCUGCUCCUAGUACGAGAGGACCGGAGUGGACGCAUCACUGGUGUUCGGGUUGUCAUGCCAAUGGCACUGCCCGGUAGCUAAAUGCGGAAGAGAUAAGUGCUGAAAGCAUCUAAGCACGAAACUUGCCCCGAGAUGAGUUCUCCCUGACCCUUUAAGGGUCCUGAAGGAACGUUGAAGACGACGACGUUGAUAGGCCGGGUGUGUAAGCGCAGCGAUGCGUUGAGCUAACCGGUACUAAUGAACCGUGAGGCUUAACCUUACAACGCCGAAGCUGUU